AGGGGAAGUCGGUGAUCCUAUGCUGCCAAGAAAAUCUUCUAGCGAGGUUCGAGCCGCCCGUACCCCAAACCGACUCAGGUGGUUAGGUAGAGAAUACCAAGGCGAUCGAGUGAAUCGUGGUUAAGGAAUUCGGCAAAAUACCCCCGUAACUUCGGGAGAAGGGGGGCCCAGAGGGUGACGGGACUUGCUCCCCGAGCCUGAACGGCCGCAGAGACCAGGGAGAAGCGACUGUUUACUAAAAACACAGGUCCGUGCCAAGUCGCAAGACGAUGUAUACGGACUGACGCCUGCCCGGUGCUGGAACGUUAAGGGGACCGGUUAGCCUCACGGCGAAGCUGAGAACUUAAGCGCCAGUGAACGGCGGUGAUAACUAUAACCAUCCUAAGGUAGCGAAAUUCCUUGUCGGGUAAGCUCCGACCUGCACGAAUGGCGUAACGAUUUCUCCACUGUCUCAACCACGAACUCGGCGAAAUUGCACUACGAGUAAAGAUGCUCGUUACGCGCAGAAGGACGGAAAGACCCCGGGACCUUUACUACAGCUUGGUAUUGGUGUUCGGUACGGCUUGUGUAGGAUAGGUGGGAGACUGUGAAGCUGACACGCCAGUGACGGUGGAGUCAACGUUGAAAUACCACUCUGGUCGUUCUGGAUAUCUAACCUAGGUCCGUGAUCCGGAUCAGGGACAGUGCCUGGUGGGUAGUUUAACUGGGGCGGUUGCCUCCUAAAAGGUAACGGAGGCGCCCAAAGGUUCCCUCAGCCUGGUUGGCAAUCAGGUUUUGAGUGUAAGUGCACAAGGGAGCUUGACUGUGAGACUGACAAGUCGAACAGGGACGAAAGUCGGGACUAGUGAUCCGGCGGUGGCUUGUGGAAGCGCCGUCGCUCAACGGAUAAAAGGUACCCCGGGGAUAACAGGCUGAUCUUGCCCAAGAGUCCAUAUCGACGGCAUGGUUUGGCACCUCGAUGUCGGCUCGUCGCAUCCUGGGGCUGGAGUAGGUCCCAAGGGUUGGGCUGUUCGCCCAUUAAAGCGGUACGCGAGCUGGGUUUAGAACGUCGUGAGACAGUUCGGUCCCUAUCCUCUGCGCGCGCAGGAAACUUGAGAAGGGCUGUCCCUAGUACGAGAGGACCGGGAUGGACGAACCUCUGGUGUGUCAGUUGUUCUGCCAAGAGCACCGCUGAUUAGCUACGUUCGGGAGUGAUAACCGCUGAAAGCAUCUAAGCGGGAAGCAUGCUUCAAGAUGAGGUUUCCAUGGGGUUUACCCCGAGAGGCUCCCAGCUAGACUACUGGGUUGAUAGGCCGGAUGUGGAAGUGCGGUAACGCAUGGAGCUGACCGGUACUAAUAAGCCGAUAACUUGCC
RNAcentral lists this ribosomal RNA (1353 nucleotides) under metagenome. RNAcentral describes it as "bacterial LSU rRNA". It matches the Rfam family "Bacterial large subunit ribosomal RNA", at positions 1583 to 2925 of the family's 2925-position model. The record is from RNAcentral.